Molecule: ribosomal RNA, 549 nt
Filed under: uncultured Glomus
Lineage: Eukaryota; Fungi; Glomeromycota; Glomeromycetes; Glomerales; Glomeraceae
Description: SSU rRNA
Rfam family: Eukaryotic small subunit ribosomal RNA
Source: RNAcentral
UUGGAGGGCAAGUCUGGUGCCAGCAGCCGCGGUAAUUCCAGCUCCAAUAGCGUAUAUUAAAGUUGUUGCAGUUAAAAAGCUCGUAGUUGAAUUUCGGGGUCAGUAGGUUGGUCGUGCCACCGGUACGUACUGGUCUCACUGAUUCCUCCUUCCUGAUGAGCUGUAAUGCCAUUAAUUUGGUGUUGCAGGGAAUCUGGACUGUUACUUUGAAAAAAUUAGAGUGUUUAAAGCAGGCUAACGCUUGAAUACAUUAGCAUGGAAUAAUGAAAUAGGACGUUCGAUCCUAUUUUGUUGGUUUCUAGGAUUGACGUAAUGAUUAAUAGGGAUAGUUGGGGGCAUUAGUAUUCAAUUGUCAGAGGUGAAAUUCUUGGAUUUAUUGAAGACUAACUACUGCGAAAGCAUUUGCAAAGGAUGUUUUCAUUAAUCAAGAACGAAAGUUAGGGGAUCGGAGACGAUCAGAUACCGUCGUAGUCUUAACCAUAAACUAUGCCGACUAGGGAUCGGAUGAUGUUAAUUUUUUAAUGACUCAUUCGGCGCCUUACGGGAAAC